GAUGAACGCUGGCGGCGUGCCUAAUACAUGCAAGUCGAGCGAACAGACGAGGAGCUUGCUCCUCUGACGUUAGCGGCGGACGGGUGAGUAACACGUGGAUAACCUACCUAUAAGACUGGGAUAACUUCGGGAAACCGGAGCUAAUACCGGAUAAUAUAUUGAACCGCAUGGUUCAAUAGUGAAAGACGGUUUUGCUGUCACUUAUAGAUGGAUCCGCGCCGCAUUAGCUAGUUGGUAAGGUAACGGCUUACCAAGGCAACGAUGCGUAGCCGACCUGAGAGGGUGAUCGGCCACACUGGAACUGAGACACGGUCCAGACUCCUACGGGAGGCCGCAGUAGGGAAUCUUCCGCAAUGGGCGAAAGCUUGACGGAGCAACGCCGCGUGAGUGAUGAAGGUCUUCCGAUCGUAAAACUCUGUUAUUAGGGAAGAACAAAUGUGUAAGUAACUAUGCACGUCUUGACGGUACCUAAUCAGAAAGCCACGGCUAACUACGUG
This 497-nucleotide ribosomal RNA is filed under the name uncultured bacterium. RNAcentral's name for it is "partial 16S ribosomal RNA". It matches the Rfam family "Bacterial small subunit ribosomal RNA", at positions 28 to 507 of the family's 1533-position model. The record is from RNAcentral.